This 720-nucleotide ribosomal RNA is filed under the name Janibacter sp. RNAcentral describes it as "bacterial SSU rRNA". It matches the Rfam family "Bacterial small subunit ribosomal RNA", at positions 120 to 852 of the family's 1533-position model. Lineage: Bacteria; Bacillati; Actinomycetota; Actinomycetes; Micrococcales; Intrasporangiaceae. The record is from RNAcentral.
AGCAACCUGCCCCUGACUCUGGAAUAAGCGCUGGAAACGGCGUCUAAUACUGGAUACGAGAAGGGUCCGCAUGGGCACUUUCUGGAAAGUUUUUCGGUUGGGGAUGGGCUCGCGGCCUAUCAGCUUGUUGGUGAGGUAAUGGCUCACCAAGGCGACGACGGGUAGCCGGCCUGAGAGGGCGACCGGCCACACUGGGACUGAGACACGGCCCAGACUCCUACGGGAGGCAGCAGUGGGGAAUAUUGCACAAUGGGCGAAAGCCUGAUGCAGCGACGCCGCGUGAGGGAUGACGGCCUUCGGGUUGUAAACCUCUUUCAGCAGGGAAGAAGCGAAAGUGACGGUACCUGCAGAAGAAGCACCGGCUAACUACGUGCCAGCAGCCGCGGUAAUACGUAGGGUGCGAGCGUUGUCCGGAAUUAUUGGGCGUAAAGAGCUUGUAGGCGGUUUGUCGCGUCUGCUGUGAAAAUCCGGGGCUCAACCCCGGACUUGCAGUGGGUACGGGCAGACUAGAGUGUGGUAGGGGAGACUGGAAUUCCUGGUGUAGCGGUGAAAUGCGCAGAUAUCAGGAGGAACACCGAUGGCGAAGGCAGGUCUCUGGGCCACUACUGACGCUGAGAAGCGAAAGCAUGGGGAGCGAACAGGAUUAGAUACCCUGGUAGUCCAUGCCGUAAACGUUGGGCGCUAGGUGUGGGACUCAUUCCGCGAGUUCCGUGCCGCAGC